CUGAGAGGUUGAUCGGCCACAUUGGGACUGAGACACGGCCCAAACUCCUACGGGAGGUAGCAGUAGGGAAUCUUCCACAAUGGACGAAAGCCUGAUGGAGCAACGCCGCGUGAAUGAAGAAGGCCUUCGGGUCGUAAAAUUCUGUUGUCAGAGAAGAACGUGCGUGAGAGUAACUGUUCACGUAUUGACGGUAUCUGACCAGAAAGCCACGGCUAACUACGUGCCAGCAGCCGCGGUAAUACGUAGGUGGCGAGCGUUGUCCGGAUUUAUUGGGCGUAAAGGGAACGCAGGCGGUCUUUUAAGUCUGAUGUGAAAGCCUUCGGCUUAACCGAAGUAGUGCACUGGAAACUGGAAGACUUGAGUGCAGAAGAGGAGAGUGGAACUCCAUGUGUAGCGGUGAAAUGCGUAGAUAUAUGGAAGAACACCAGUGGCGAAAGCGGCUCUCUGGUCUGUAACUGACGCUGAGGUUCGAAAGCGUGGGUAGCAAACAGGAUUAGAUACCCUGGUAGUCCACGCCGUAAACGAUGAGUGCUAAGUGUUGGAGGGUUUCCGCCCUUCAGUGCUGCAGCUAACGCAUUAAGCACUCCGCCUGGGGAGUACGGUCGCAAGACUGAAACUCAAAGGAAUUGACGGGGGCCCGCACAAGCGGUGGAGCAUGUGGUUUAAUUCGAAGCAACGCGAAGAACCUUACCAGGUCUUGACAUCUUCUGACAAUUCCAGAGAUGGAACGUUCCCUUCGGGGACAGAAUGACAGGUGCUGCAUGGUUGUCGUCAGCUCGUGUCGUGAGAUGUUGGGUUAAGUCCCGCAACGAGCGCAACCCUUAUUGUCAGUUGCCAUCAUUAAGUUGGGCACUCUGGCGAGACUGCCGGUGACAAACCGGAGGAAGGUGGGGAUGACGUCAAAUCAUCAUGCCCCUUAUGACCUGGGCUACACACGUGCUACAAUGGACGGUACAACGAGUCGCUAACUCGCGAGGGCAAGCUAAUCUCUUAAGGCCGUUCUCAGUUCGGAUUGCAGGCUGCAACUCGCCUGCAUGAAGUCGGAAUCGCUAGUAAUCGCGAAUCAGCAUGUCGCGGUGAAUACGUUCCCGGGCCUUGUACACACCGCCCGUCACACCAUGAGAGUUUGUAACACCCAAAGUCGGUGGGGUAACCUUUUGGAGCCAGCCGCCUAAGGUGGGACAGAUGAUUGGGGUGAAGUCGUAACAAGGUA
RNAcentral lists this ribosomal RNA (1213 nucleotides) under metagenome. Its description in RNAcentral is "bacterial SSU rRNA". It matches the Rfam family "Bacterial small subunit ribosomal RNA", at positions 292 to 1498 of the family's 1533-position model. The record is from RNAcentral.